AUAACUUCAUUAUAGAUAGUUAACUCAUCACCAGUCAAUGCAUCACUGCUAGCACAUGCAAGCUUUCAGUUGACAUUUCCUGUUAUAUAAAGAAUUCCUCAGAAGAAAAGCUAGUAGAAAUGCAUUGACUAGUGAUGAGUUAAUUUCAGUUGAUUUGCUGUUAU
Molecule: microRNA precursor, 164 nt
Filed under: Populus trichocarpa (black cottonwood)
Lineage: Eukaryota; Viridiplantae; Streptophyta; Magnoliopsida; Malpighiales; Salicaceae
Description: miR6429 stem-loop (ptc-MIR6429)
Source: miRBase by way of RNAcentral